This 544-nucleotide ribosomal RNA is filed under the name Bifidobacterium bifidum. RNAcentral describes it as "bacterial SSU rRNA". It matches the Rfam family "Bacterial small subunit ribosomal RNA", at positions 156 to 710 of the family's 1533-position model. The record is from RNAcentral. Lineage: Bacteria; Bacillati; Actinomycetota; Actinomycetes; Bifidobacteriales; Bifidobacteriaceae.
AACGGUGGUAAUGCCGGAUGUUCCACAUGAUCGCAUGUGAUUGUGGGAAAGAUUCUAUCGGCGUGGGAUGGGGUCGCGUCCUAUCAGCUUGUUGGUGAGGUAACGGCUCACCAAGGCUUCGACGGGUAGCCGGCCUGAGAGGGCGACCGGCCACAUUGGGACUGAGAUACGGCCCAGACUCCUACGGGAGGCAGCAGUGGGGAAUAUUGCACAAUGGGCGCAAGCCUGAUGCAGCGACGCCGCGUGAGGGAUGGAGGCCUUCGGGUUGUAAACCUCUUUUGUUUGGGAGCAAGCCUUCGGGUGAGUGUACCUUUCGAAUAAGCGCCGGCUAACUACGUGCCAGCAGCCGCGGUAAUACGUAGGGCGCAAGCGUUAUCCGGAUUUAUUGGGCGUAAAGGGCUCGUAGGCGGCUCGUCGCGUCCGGUGUGAAAGUCCAUCGCUUAACGGUGGAUCUGCGCCGGGUACGGGCGGGCUGGAGUGCGGUAGGGGAGACUGGAAUUCCCGGUGUAACGGUGGAAUGUGUAGAUAUCGGAGAAGAAACACC